GUACACGCUGUGACUAGCAUAUCAAUAAGCGGAGGAAAAGAAACUAACAAGGAUUCCCCUAGUAACGGCGAGUGAAGCGGGAAGAGCUCAAAUUUGAAAUCUUAAAGGGUUUCCCUUUACGAAUUGUAGUUUAAAGAAGUGUUUUCUGUUGAGGUUUUGGUAAAAGUUCUUUGGAAUAGGACAUCAUAGAGGGUGAGAAUCCCGUAUUUGACCUUCACUUUCAACUUUGUGAUACACUUUCAAAGAGUCGGAUUGUUUGGGAAUGCAGUCCAAAAUGGGUGGUAAAUUUCAUCUAAAGCUAAAUAUUGGCGAGAGACCGAUAGCGAACAAGUACCGUGAGGGAAAGAUGAAAAGAACUUUGAAAAGAGAGUUAAACAGUACGUGAAAUUGUCAAAAGGGAAGCGUUUGACACCAGUGUUGUUUUUCUGAAAAUCAAUUAAAGAACUGUUUAUGCUAAGCUGUUUAGACUUUAUCAGCUAACUGUUUAGUUCUGAGCUUUUCUUUAAUGCACUUUUCAGUUAACAAGUCAACAUCAAUUUCUUUUGCUGUAAAAAAGCUUGAGGAAGGUGGCUUGAGAUUCGUCUUAAGUGUUUAUAGCCUCUUGCCUAUGCAGUCGGAGAGAUUGAGGUCUGCAGCGUAGAUCCUUCGGGGCUAAAUGCAUUUGUGCUAAGUUAUAGCAUUUUAUAGACAACUUGUUGACUAUGAUUUGUCUUGUAGCUUACUCGCUUAUGUUAUUUUACCUACGCUUAGGAUGUUGAGGUCGUAGAGCACGCAG
This 775-nucleotide ribosomal RNA is filed under the name uncultured Neocallimastigales. RNAcentral's name for it is "partial large subunit ribosomal RNA". It matches the Rfam family "Eukaryotic large subunit ribosomal RNA", at positions 22 to 628 of the family's 3401-position model. The record is from RNAcentral. Lineage: Eukaryota; Fungi; Neocallimastigomycota; Neocallimastigomycetes; Neocallimastigales.